UACGGGGGGGCAAGCGUUGUUCGGAAUUACUGGGCGUAAAGGGCUCGUAGGCGGCCAACUAAGUCAUACGUGAAAUCCCUCGGCUUAACCGGGGAACUGCGUCUGAUACUGGAUGGCUUGAGAUUGGGAGAGGGAUGCGGAAUUCCAGGUGUAGCGGUGAAAUGCGUAGAUAUCUGGAGGAACACCGGUGGCGAAGGCGGCAUCCUGGACCGACACUGACGCUGAGGCGCGAAAGCUAGGGGAGCAAACGGG
RNAcentral lists this ribosomal RNA (252 nucleotides) under uncultured bacterium. RNAcentral's name for it is "partial 16S ribosomal RNA". It matches the Rfam family "Bacterial small subunit ribosomal RNA", at positions 524 to 776 of the family's 1533-position model. The record is from RNAcentral.